UACGGAGGGGGCUAGCGUUGUUCGGAAUUACUGGGCGUAAAGCGCGCGUAGGCAGACCUGCAAGUCGGGGUGAAAGCCCGAGGCUCAACCCUCGGAACUGCCUUCGAUACUGCGGUCGUCGAGUCCGGGAGAGGUGAGUGGAAUUCCUAGUGUAGAGGUGAAAUUCGUAGAUAUUAGGAAGAACACCAGUGGCGAAGGACGG
This 202-nucleotide ribosomal RNA is filed under the name uncultured bacterium. Its description in RNAcentral is "partial 16S ribosomal RNA". It matches the Rfam family "Bacterial small subunit ribosomal RNA", at positions 524 to 724 of the family's 1533-position model. The record is from RNAcentral.